UUUAUGGAGAGUUUGAUCCUGCUCAGGAUGAACGCUGGCGGCGUGCCUAAUACAUGCAAGUCGAGCGAACGGACGAGAAGCUUGCUUCUCUGAUGUUAGCGGCGGACGGGUGAGUAACACGUGGAUAACCUACCUAUAAGACUGGGAUAACUUCGGGAAACCGGAGCUAAUACCGGAUAAUAUUUUGAACCGCAUGGUUCAAAAGUGAAAGACGGUCUUGCUGUCACUUAUAGAUGGAUCCGCGCUGCAUUAGCUAGUUGGUAAAGGUAACGGCUUACCAAGGCAACGAUGCAUAGCCGACCUGAGAGGGUGAUCGGCACACUGGAACUGAGACACGGUCCAGACUCCUACGGGAAGGCAGCAGUAGGGAAUCUUCCGCAAUGGGCGAAAGCCUGACGGAGCAACGCCGCGUGAGUGGAGAAGGUCUUCGGAUCGUAAAAACUCUGUUAUUAGGAAGAAACAUAUGUGUAAGUAACUGUGCACAUCUUGACGGUUAACCUAAAUCAGAAAGCCACGGCUAACUACGUGCCAGCAGCCGCGGUAAUACGUAGGUGGCAAGCGUUAUCCGGAAUUAUUGGGCGUAAAGCGCGCGUAGGCGGUUUUUUAAGUCUUGAUGUGAAAGCCACGGCUCAACCGUGGAGGGUCAUUGGAAACUGGAAAACUUGAGUGCAGAAGAGGAAAGUGGAAUUCCAUGUGUAGCGGUGAAAUGCGCAGAGAUAUGGAGGAACACCAGUGGCGAAGGCGACUUUCUGGUCUGUAACUGACGCUGAUGUGCGAAAGCGUGGGGAUCAAACAGGAUUAGAUACCCUGGUAGUCCACGCCGUAAACGAUGAGUGCUAAGUGUUAGGGGGUUUCCGCCCCUUAGUGCUGCAGCUAACGCAUUAAGCACUCCGCCUGGGGAGUACGACCGCAAGGUUGAAACUCAAAGGAAUUGACGGGGACCCGCACAAGCGGUGGAGCAUGUGGUUUAAUUCGAAGCAACGCGAAGAACCUUACCAAAUCUUGACAUCCUUUGACAACUCUAGAGAUAGAGCCUUCCCUUCGGGGGACAAAGUGACAGGUGGUGCAUGGUUGUCGUCAGCUCGUGUCGUGAGAUGUUGGGUUAAGUCCCGCAACGAGCGCAACCCUUAAGCUUAGUUGCCAUCAUUAAGUUGGGCACUCUAAGUUGACUGCCGGUGACAAACCGGAGGAAGGUGGGGAUGACGUCAAAUCAUCAUGCCCCUUAUGAUUUGGGCUACACACGUGCUACAAUGGACAAUAAAAGGGCAGCGAAACCGCGAGGUCAAGCAAAUCCCAUAAAGUUGUUCUCAGUUCGGAUUGUAGUCUGCAACUCGACUACAUGAAGCUGGAAUCGCUAGUAAUCGUAGAUCAGCAUGCUACGGUGAAUACGUUCCCGGUCUUGUACACACCGCCGUCACACCACGAGAGUUUGUAACACCCGAAGCCGGUGGAGUAACUUUUAGGAGCUAGCCGUCGAAGGUGGACAAAUGAUUGGGGUGAAGUCGUAACAAGGUAGCCGUAUCGGAAGGUGCGGCUGGAUCACCUCCUUUCUA
RNAcentral lists this ribosomal RNA (1553 nucleotides) under Staphylococcus aureus. Its description in RNAcentral is "bacterial SSU rRNA". It matches the Rfam family "Bacterial small subunit ribosomal RNA". The record is from RNAcentral. Lineage: Bacteria; Bacillati; Bacillota; Bacilli; Caryophanales; Staphylococcaceae.